Molecule: non-coding RNA, 2862 nt
Organism: Theobroma cacao (cacao)
Lineage: Eukaryota; Viridiplantae; Streptophyta; Magnoliopsida; Malvales; Malvaceae
Source: RefSeq, a predicted model, not a curated record
ACUUGCGAAAGGUUUCAUCACCUGUCGGCCUGAUUGCCGAUUUGCCAUAUUGUUAAUUCGAACUGGCCAAUUACAGGUUGCCACUAGAGCUGAUUGAUUUGGUUGCAUACAAAAAUGGGGAAUUCCAUCUGUGAGAUCAGUAUUGUACCUAAACAUAAGACUGCUGCUUUGCUGAUGCUGGGCUACCAAAUCCCAAAUUAAACGAAUUACAUACCGUUAAAAUCGUGCGUGCACGACGAGACCUACGGGCAAGGGGCACCUCAAGCCUCAAAAAAUCUUCCCUCCCCCAAAGGCCAAGGCUCUGCAAAUCAUAUCUCAUUCCAGGUGAUUCAACUUGAAUCCUCCAACGCAAAAAGCAAAGUUUCCAUUCGAACAACCUCAGGCUCAGAGGGGAAGAGGAAGGAGGAAGGUUUCCUUUCUCUUGCCAGGGCUCCUUUUCCUCUUUCUCUCCCAUUUUGUCUUUCCCUUCCUGUUGCCAUGAUGAUAAGGAAGCUGUGUCCUAAUCUUGAUAAAAAAGAUGGCCUGGAGACCGUCCUGGAAGUGCCCAUACCUGAAGAAAUGUACACCAAGAUGGGCAGCAAUGCAGCUUUGCGGUGGCAAAACAUGCGUGCCUUGAUGAAAGCUCAAUCAGCUUUUGACAAGUCAACCCAUCUCCAAGCUAAAUCAGACAAUGAGUUCUUGGCGUUGCUUAAGAUUGUUGGCGCCCCUCUCAUCCCUUUCCAGGUUCAUUUGGAGAAUUACACACUUUCAGGUCCCCUGAAUUCGAAAGAUUGUUCUAUUGAAGCUUCUACUGCAAAAUAUAUAGUACAGCAGUAUGUAGCCGCUACCGGCGGACAUUUGGCGUUGAGUUCAAUGACCAGCAUGUAUGCAGUGGGACAGGUGAAAAUGCAGGGGUCAGAGAUGCAGCAGGGUGAUGAUAGCGUGCAUACCCGAGGCAACUGCGAGGUCGGCGGGUUUGUAUUAUGGCAAAAGAACCCGGAUUUGUGGUAUUUAGAACUAGUUGUUUCUGGUUUCAAGGUCAGUGCAGGCAGUGACGGUAAGGUUGCCUGGAACCAGUCGUCCUCACAACCUGGUCAGGCAAAUAGAGGCCCUCCACGACCCCUUCGCCGAUUCUUCCAGGGCCUGGACCCCAGGUGCACUGCUAGCUUAUUCUUAGAUGCGGUUUGCAUAGGAGAGCAGGCUAUUAACAACGAAGAUUGUUUCGUACUCAAGCUUGAAACUGCUGCAAACGCCCUCAAAGUGCAGAGUUCAGCGCAGACAGAAAUCAUCCAUCACACAAUCUGGGGGUACUUCAGCCAAAGAACAGGACUCCUCGUCAAGUUCGAGGACACGAAGCUGGUCAGGAUGAAACCCGUCAAGGGAAACGACAGUGCGUUUUGGGAGACCAGCGUGGAGACGGUGGUCCAAGAUUACAAGUACAUCGAUGGCAUCAACAUAGCACACAGUGGGAAGACGAUCACGACACUUUACAGAUACGGGAAGUCAUAUAAUCAGAAGAGGAAGAUUGAAGAAACUUGGAGGAUCGAUGAGGUUGAUUUCAACAUUUGUGGGUUGUCCAAUGAAACCUUCCUGCCUCCAGCUGAUCUCAAGAGAGAGCAAGAAGGUGGAGAGCAAUGAUAAGCUUAGAUUUCCUCUUCCUUUUUUUUCCUUGUAGAAGUUGAAACACAAAGGAAAGUCGAAGAAAAAUGCGUGUACAUAUAGGAGAUUUGAAGUUCUGAUAAGCUUGGAAUGAUCAAGCUAGUUGAUACGUGGCCGAGUUGGCUGGAUGGCAAAGUGUGGUGCGGGAUUUUUGGAUCAGUGGUGCAAGGCUGUGGAAUUUUUCUCGCCGCUGCUCUGCAUCUCUAAAUUGUUUUGGGUUCACAUGGGUCUGGUAUGGAUUUAGUGGGGUGUAUUGCAGUGAUAGGGUACUUUCAAGUAGCACAUAGGUUGUGGUUGGUAUGCUGCUGUAUGUGUAGUACUUUCCCUGCAUUUUAAUGGAUGUAAAGACAUUCCAUAUUUGGUUUACCAUCCAAUUAAAAUGCAAGAAAAGUGCCCCACAUGUAGUAUACUAAACUCAAACUUAGUCUUAGUUAAUUGUAGAUUAAUUUAAUUGCUUUUAUUUUAGCAUUGUGUUUAACUGAACAGAUCAAAUGUAAUUCAAUGGAGAUCUAUUAAUGAAUUAUUGUUGAUAUUGGCUUUAUGUUUUAUUGCCCUUUCUAUCACCUUCUUUGAUUGAUUAUCUUUGUAUAUUUCAUGCUGUGGUUUGAUGCUUUGAUAUGCUUUGGGUGGGUGGCUUCUUUUACUGACCACAUGAAUGGAUGUAAAAGGCUAAUCUGUUUAAAAGAUUAUGAACUCGACGAAGUCAACAGUUGGGGCCCAAUGAUGCAGAACAGACAAUUGAUGUUAAAUUUUUGCUACUGUAAAAUCCCAGCUUUAUCUGGCUAUGAAUGCUUUGUUCCCCCAUUGGAAUCACAACGGUAGUUGGUUGGUCAAGUGCUUAUCCAGAACAAUGUGGAAACCACAAACCCACAACUGUAAAGUGCUUGCCUAACUGCUGGAUAAAGCAUUAUGAGGCUUAGUGGGAUCAGGAUGGUCUCGCCUAUAGUAGAAAUGGAUGGUCAAAUCUAGAUCUUCUUACCCUUGGAUAUGGUGCUGUAAAUCUAAGACAAAGACUGUUGUCCUUUGUGUUGCUGUAAUCUUCGUUUGUCUUGGUGGUUUCUACAUCAUAUCUAUCCUCAAGGCAGUCAAGCAGUGGGGACAAUGAUAUGCCCUUUGAUCUUGCUAUUUACCUGUAAAUAUUAGCAUAUGGUUAUGGGACUUAGCUUUCCCACCUGCUUUGUACUCUGUUAGUAGCUCUUGGAAUAAAACAAAUAACCCACACUA